GGUCAAGCGAAUAAGAGUCUAC
Molecule: ribosomal RNA, 22 nt
Filed under: uncultured Spirochaetota bacterium
Lineage: Bacteria; Pseudomonadati; Spirochaetota
Description: uncultured Spirochaetes bacterium partial 23S ribosomal RNA
Source: RNAcentral